AGGAUGAACGCUGGCGGUCUGCUUAACACAUGCAAGUCGAACGGAGUAGCAAUACUUAGUGGCGGACGGGUGAGUAACGCGUGAGAAUCUACCUUCAGGACGGAGACAACAGUUGGAAACGACUGCUAACCCCCGAUGUACUGAAAAGGCAAAUAUUUAUAGCCUGAAGAAGAGCUCGCGUCCGAUUAGCUAGUUGGAGAGGUAAAAGCUCACCAAGGCGACGAUCGGUAGCUGGUCUGAGAGGACGAUCAGCCACACUGGGACUGAGACACGGCCCAGACUCCUACGGGAGGCAGCAGUGGGGAAUUUUCCGCAAUGGGCGAAAGCCUGACGGAGCAAGACCGCGUGGGGGAAGAAGGGCUCUUGGGUUGUAAACCCCCUUUUCUCUGGGAAGAACACAAUGACGGUACCAGAGGAAUCAGCAUCGGCUAACUCCGUGCCAGCAGCCGC
Molecule: ribosomal RNA, 450 nt
Filed under: uncultured bacterium
Lineage: Bacteria
Description: SSU rRNA
Rfam family: Bacterial small subunit ribosomal RNA
Source: RNAcentral